AUGGCGGCGCCCAGCAGGGGAAGACGGGUUGUGGGACCGAGGCAGCACACAAAGCAACCUGUAGCCAAGCAAAGGAUGCCCAACCGGCCUGGCAUGGAGCGGAGAGUGCACGAGGGGUGUGGGGUAAGUGGUGAAAAUGCCGUCGGGGACAGACUGCCGCCGUCGUCAGAUUUUGACCUGGAGUCGAACGGCGAGGGGAUGAUGAUAGGGAAAGCGAGGAAGGCAGGAAGAGGGCACUUGGAGGAGAAACACAUCAUCCACCCUGUGCCCGUGCUUCAGCCGCGAUGGUGGACGGUUGUGGGGAAAUCCGAGGUCUGCACGUGGAUCUACUACUCGGGAUGUCAUGACAUGGUUUUUGUGCAGUGA
This 366-nucleotide ribosomal RNA is filed under the name Triticum aestivum (bread wheat). Its description in RNAcentral is "partial small subunit ribosomal RNA". The record is from RNAcentral. Lineage: Eukaryota; Viridiplantae; Streptophyta; Magnoliopsida; Poales; Poaceae.